Molecule: long non-coding RNA, 632 nt
Filed under: Rattus norvegicus (Norway rat)
Lineage: Eukaryota; Metazoa; Chordata; Mammalia; Rodentia; Muridae
Description: long non-coding RNA NONRATT024532
Source: RNAcentral
ACCUCAAGUUUUCCCUCAGGAAAAAGCUUUGUGUUUGCUUUUGCUUUCUUUUGUUUUAAAGUAUGAUGCAGAUCUAAGUGGAUUUCAGUCCACCCCCACCCCGUUCUCAGCAAGGGCUCCCCGUCUAUGAGGGAGACAUAAGCACAGCUCAGCGUCCUCCUCCUCUGCCUCGGGUAGAAGCUGGAGGCUGCACUCGUCCAUUGUGGAUGCAGCCGCUCUCUCCCUUUGUUCACAGGGCAGCAGCUCAUCCCAGCUCCAGUCCUGGACUGUCCAGCCCUCCUUUGAAGUGAUCUCAGCGCAGCCACAGCUCUUUGUCCUUCAUCCACCUGUGCCAUCUCCUGUCAGCCCAUGCCACACUGGUGAGAAAAAGUCAGAGUCCAGAAACUACUUGCCCAUUCUAAAUUCUUAUACCAAAAUAGCCCCGCACCCAGGCAAAAGGGGCCUCAGCUCCGAAGAAAGAGGAACAAGUGGGGCACCGAAGAAAAUCUGCGUGGAGAGACUGGGGCCAAGCCUGUCUUCCAGUGAGCCAGCCAAGCCUGGCCGUGUGCUAUCCAGUCCUUUCACUCCAGCCCUACCCAGCUCCAAGCUCACCGAGGACUCGGCUCUGCAAGGAGUGCCCUCCCUUGGGGCUG